This is a non-coding RNA of Parelaphostrongylus tenuis, 70 nucleotides long. The record is from the annotation of a GenBank genome assembly. NCBI's taxonomy places the organism in Eukaryota, Metazoa, Nematoda, Chromadorea, Rhabditida, Metastrongylidae.
GCUCGGUGGUAUAAUGGUAGCACGCGUCCCCGGUAUGGAUGAAACGCGAGUUUGAGUCCCGUCUGAAGUA